RNAcentral lists this ribosomal RNA (506 nucleotides) under uncultured soil bacterium. RNAcentral's name for it is "bacterial SSU rRNA". It matches the Rfam family "Bacterial small subunit ribosomal RNA", at positions 26 to 518 of the family's 1533-position model. The record is from RNAcentral.
AGAUUGAACGCUGGCGGCAUGCCUUACACAUGCAAGUCGAACGGCAGCACGGGGGCAACCCUGGUGGCGAGUGGCGAACGGGUGAGUAAUACAUCGGAACGUAUCCUGUAGCGGGGGAUAACCUCUCGAAAGAGAGGCUAAUACCGCAUACGACCUACGGGUGAAAGAGGGGGAUCGCAAGACCUCUCACUAUUGGAGCGGCCGAUGUCGGAUUAGCUAGUUGGUGGGGUAAAAGCCUACCAAGGCUACGAUCCGUAGCUGGUCUGAGAGGACGACCAGCCACACUGGAACUGAGACACGGUCCAGACUCCUACGGGAGCAGCAGUGGGGAAUAUUGGACAAUGGGCGCAAGCCUGAUCCAGCCAUACCGCGUGGUGAAGAAGGCCUUCGGGGUUGUAAAAGUCCCCUUUUAGUUCGGGAAAGUAAAGUCCUAGACCGGUUAAUAACCGAGUAGGAUGACGUACCCAAAGAAUAAGCAACCGGCUAACUCGUAGCCAAGCAGCCGC